Molecule: ribosomal RNA, 420 nt
Filed under: Marinobacter sp. L977
Lineage: Bacteria; Pseudomonadati; Pseudomonadota; Gammaproteobacteria; Pseudomonadales; Marinobacteraceae
Description: bacterial SSU rRNA
Rfam family: Bacterial small subunit ribosomal RNA
Source: RNAcentral
CUCCUACGGGAGGCAGCAGUGGGGAAUAUUGGCCAAUGGGGGCAACCCUGAUCCAACCAUCCCGCGUGUGUGAAGAAGGCUUUCGGGUUGUAAAGCACUUUCAGUGAGGAGGAAAACUCUGCGACUAAUACUCGUAGGGCUUGACGUUACUCACAGAAGAAGCAGCGGCUAACUCCGUGCCAGCAGCCGCGGUAAUACGGAGGGUGCAAGCGUUAAUCGGAAUUACUGGGAGUAAAGCGCGCGUAGGUGGUUUGAUAAGCGAGAUGUGAAAGCCCCGGGCUUAACCUGGGAACGGCAUUUCGAACUGUCAGGCUAGAGUAUGGUAGAGGGUACGUGGAAUUUCCUGUGUAGCGGUGAAAUGCGUAGAUAUAGGAAGGAACACCAGUGGCGAAGGCGGCUACCUGGACCAAUACUGACACU